UACCCGCUGAGUUUAAGCAUAUCAAUAAGCGGAGGAAAAGA
RNAcentral lists this ribosomal RNA (41 nucleotides) under Crossopteryx febrifuga. RNAcentral describes it as "partial 26S ribosomal RNA". RNAcentral also lists the same sequence under 7 other names. The record is from RNAcentral. Lineage: Eukaryota; Viridiplantae; Streptophyta; Magnoliopsida; Gentianales; Rubiaceae.